GGGUUGUGAGGUUAAGCGACUAAGCGUACACGGUGGAUGCCCUGGCAGUCAGAGGCGAUGAAGGACGUGCUAAUCUGCGAUAAGCGCCGGUAAGGUGAUAUGAACCGUUAUAACCGGCGAUUUCCGAAUGGGGAAACCCAGUGUGAUUCGUCACACUAUCAUUAACUGAAUCCAUAGGUUAAUGAGGCGAACCGGGGGAACUGAAACAUCUAAGUACCCCGAGGAAAAGAAAUCAACCGAGAUUCCCCCAGUAGCGGCGAGCGAACGGGGAGGAGCCCAGAGCCUGAAUCAGCAUGUGUGUUAGUGGAAGCGUCUGGAAAGGCGCGCGAUACAGGGUGACAGCCCCGUACA
RNAcentral lists this ribosomal RNA (351 nucleotides) under Salmonella enterica subsp. enterica serovar 4,12:d:-. RNAcentral's name for it is "partial 23S ribosomal RNA". It matches the Rfam family "Bacterial large subunit ribosomal RNA", at positions 1 to 379 of the family's 2925-position model. Lineage: Bacteria; Pseudomonadati; Pseudomonadota; Gammaproteobacteria; Enterobacterales; Enterobacteriaceae. The record is from RNAcentral.